CCUGUUUUACAAAAACAUGUCUUUUUGAGUUAUUUUUAAAGUCUGACCUGCCCACUGAAAUUAUUUAAAUGGCCGCAGUAUUCUAACUGUGCAAAGGUAGCAUAAUCAUUAGUCUUUUAAUUGAAGGCUGGUAUGAACGGUUGGACGAGGUAUAAGCUGUUUCAUAUAAAUUUAUAAUAGAAUUUUAUAUUUUAGUCAAAAAGCUAAAAUUUUAUUAAAAGACGAGAAGACCCUAUAAAUCUUUAUACUUUGUGUUGUUUAAAUUUUUUAGAUUUAUUUUAUUUUUAUGACUUAAAGUAUUUUGUUGGGGUGAUAUUAAAAUUUGAUGAACUUUUAAUUGUUUAAGAUCAUUAAUUUAUGAUUUAUUGAUCCAUUAGUAGUGAUUAUAAGAUUAAGUUACUUUAGGGAUAACAGCGUAAUUUUUUUGGAGAGUUCUUAUCGAUAAAAAAGUUUGCGACCUCGAUGUUGGAUUAAGAUAUAUUUUUAGGUGUAGCUGCUUAAAU
RNAcentral lists this ribosomal RNA (503 nucleotides) under Bactrocera albistrigata. RNAcentral's name for it is "partial large subunit ribosomal RNA". It matches the Rfam family "Bacterial large subunit ribosomal RNA", at positions 1799 to 2568 of the family's 2925-position model. Lineage: Eukaryota; Metazoa; Arthropoda; Insecta; Diptera; Tephritidae. The record is from RNAcentral.